AGCACCAUAGCGCAGCUGGAAGCGCGUCGGUCUCAUAUCAUUCCAUCCAUUGGAGAGAUCCGAAGGUCGCCUGAUCGAAACAAGCUGGUGCUA
Molecule: non-coding RNA, 93 nt
Organism: Mycena rebaudengoi
Lineage: Eukaryota; Fungi; Basidiomycota; Agaricomycetes; Agaricales; Mycenaceae
Source: the annotation of a GenBank genome assembly